This is a non-coding RNA of Hoeflea sp. BAL378, 68 nucleotides long. The record is from Rfam. Lineage: Bacteria; Pseudomonadati; Pseudomonadota; Alphaproteobacteria; Hyphomicrobiales; Rhizobiaceae.
AGUCAAGAGUGUUUGGCGCCAUUUUGGCGAAUGAAUUUCUAUUGCCUUUUGGAAGGUGAAAGAAAAUG